GAGAGAGACAUGCGCGCAUAUCAAUAAGCGGAGGAAAAGAAACUAACAAGGAUUCCCCUAGUAACGGCGAGUGAAGCGGGAAGAGCUCAAAUUUGAAAUCUUAAAGGGUUUCCCUUUACGAAUUGUAGUUUAAAGAAGUGUUUUCUGUUGAGGUUUUGGUAAAAGUUCUUUGGAAUAGGACAUCAUAGAGGGUGAGAAUCCCGUAUUUGACCUUUACUUUCAACUUUGUGAUACACUUUCAAAGAGUCGGAUUGUUUGGGAAUGCAGUCCAAAAUGGGUGGUAAAUUUCAUCUAAAGCUAAAUAUUGGCGAGAGACCGAUAGCGAACAAGUACCGUGAGGGAAAGAUGAAAAGAACUUUGAAAAGAGAGUUAAACAGUACGUGAAAUUGUCAAAAGGGAAGCGUUUGACACCAGUGUUGUUUUUCUGAAAAUCAAUUAAAGAACUGUUUAUGCUAAGCUGUUUAGACUUUAUCAGCUAACUGUUUAGUUUUGAGCUUUUCUCUAAUGCACUUUUCAGUUAACAAGUCAACAUCAAUUUCUUUUGCUGUAAAAAAGCUUGAGGAAGGUGGCUUGAGAUUCGUCUUAAGUGUUUAUAGCCUCUUGCCUAUGCAGUCGGAGAGAUUGAGGUCUGCAGCGUAGAUCCUUCGGGGCUAAAUGCAUUUGUGCUAAGUUAUAGCAUUUUAUAGACAACUUGUUGACUAUGAUUUGUCUUGUAGCUUACUCGCUUAUGUUAUUUUACCUACGCUUAGGAUGUUGAGCGCAUGUCUCUCUCU
Molecule: ribosomal RNA, 773 nt
Filed under: uncultured Neocallimastigales
Lineage: Eukaryota; Fungi; Neocallimastigomycota; Neocallimastigomycetes; Neocallimastigales
Description: partial large subunit ribosomal RNA
Rfam family: Eukaryotic large subunit ribosomal RNA
Source: RNAcentral